Molecule: non-coding RNA, 29 nt
Filed under: Mus musculus (house mouse)
Lineage: Eukaryota; Metazoa; Chordata; Mammalia; Rodentia; Muridae
Source: RNAcentral
UUCCUCACCUGGCAUGGCACGUGCCUCCU